Molecule: ribosomal RNA, 363 nt
Filed under: Anaerostipes hadrus
Lineage: Bacteria; Bacillati; Bacillota; Clostridia; Lachnospirales; Lachnospiraceae
Description: bacterial SSU rRNA
Rfam family: Bacterial small subunit ribosomal RNA
Source: RNAcentral
ACGACGUCAAAUCAUCAUGCCCCUUAUGACCAGGGCUACACACGUGCUACAAUGGCGUAAACAGAGGGAAGCAGCCUCGUGAGAGUGAGCAAAUCCCAAAAAUAACGUCUCAGUUCGGAUUGUAGUCUGCAACUCGACUACAUGAAGCUGGAAUCGCUAGUAAUCGCGAAUCAGAAUGUCGCGGUGAAUACGUUCCCGGGUCUUGUACACACCGCCCGUCACACCAUGGGAGUCAGUAACGCCCGAAGUCAGUGACCCAACCGUAAGGAGGGAGCUGCCGAAGGCGGGACCGAUAACUGGGGUGAAGUCGUAACAAGGUAGCCGUAUCGGAAGGUGCGGCUGGAUCACCUCCUUUCUAAGGAA